This 160-nucleotide ribosomal RNA is filed under the name uncultured bacterium. RNAcentral's name for it is "partial 16S rRNA". It matches the Rfam family "Bacterial small subunit ribosomal RNA", at positions 355 to 507 of the family's 1533-position model. The record is from RNAcentral.
UGGGGAAUAUUGGACAAUGGGCGAAAGCCUGAUCCAGCCAUGCCGCGUGUGUGAAGAAGGUCUUCGGAUUGUAAAGCACUUUAAGUUGGGAGGAAGGGCAUUAACCUAAUACGUUAGUGUUUUGACGUUACCGACAGAAUAAGCACCGGCUAACUCCGUG